UAUUAUCUCAAUUUCGCUGUAACAGAAAUAAUCCUUCAGAAAUUAGAUAUGCGGUUGUUUUCUUAAAACAAAAACGAGCUCUAUAGUCACUAUUCCUCGCCGAGUUAGAUUGCAAAAAGAUUCAACCACGCCAUAAUUAUUGUUUGUAAUCAUCCCCACAGAUUUCGAUUUCUACGUAUGUACUUUCUGUUUUCCCGCAAAGAAGCUUUCGCUUUUGAAUUCAACAGUUAUUAUUGACUACCUUACUGGCCAAGAACAAAGAUCAAGAAACCUGCGGCAAUUAUUUGUAACAUACCUUUCUACUCGCCACCGCCUUAUUGUACAGGUUAGUCUACCCACAUACUCGUGCUGUUUUUCUCAAUGAGGAAAAUACCUUGGUACCUCCUCUUUUCAGUGCCUGGAGCUCUCUGUAAGGCUUUCACGCUGUCUAGAAAAAUUCGUAUAAAAUAGGUUCCUCCAAGCGCGAAUGCAAGUCAGUGCGCUCACCAUUGCCAUGCUGUUCUCAUGGCUAGUUUCAGUUUUGUUGGCAAUCCUUCACGCUGUAGCGUGGUGUGGCCUCUUGGCGUUUAUUUGUCUCGUCUUUUGGUCCAACAAUAACCGAGCGUUCGCCCGUUUAGUCUUUCUUGUGUCUCCGUUAAAUGCAGUGAUGAGUCUCUAAAUUUUGCUUGAAGGACGACAAGAGUUAUACCGGUCUGCAUUUAAUGUAUACGACGUUAUCUAAUACUCGAUCACUACUCACGACGGCAAAACAUUUAGAUAACUCGUUUCUCAUAAUCAAUUAUUGUAAAUUCCUAUUGUGCUUCCACUAUCACCAGUGUUAAUCCUACGCUACUGCUCGAAUUCGCCAGUAGCCUUUCACUGCUUGUUAUCUUCGUGUGUCCCUAAAUACAGACAAGAGUUGACCUCUCAGCCGCUUAAAAUGUUCUGUAAAUGUAGGCCGCCGUUUCACAAUGAAAAGACAACCUGUAAUGUUUCUUAAAAUCCUUUUAAGCGAUCCGACAGUAUGCUUGUUAAAUGCUAUACAUGUUUCUACCAUAUGUUUCACCAACUGCACAUCGGCUUUGUAUUGGCUAUAGCAUAGUAGCGUAGUCUGUACUAGAUAAAUUUGGAAUCAAAUUAAAUAUUUUUGUUUUUUGAUUAGUAGGUUACAAAAUAAGGUCCUCUUAACCAGUUCUCUAUCUGUUUAGAGUCUUUUUAGCUAGAACUAGUGUCUACCUGUUACAAAGUCUAAUCUCUUUAGGACUUUUGAAGAUUCGAUUGAGGUUAGCCAUGUUUGGAAUAUGCCGUUAUAUCGAAGCUGCGUUCGGCUGCGUUACCUUGCAUAGGCAUAGCACGAACAAAAUGUAAGGUAACAAAGUUUCCAUGAAAAAUCUAUUCGUGUCCUCAGUACGAAUUUUGCACAGUCAUGGUGUGCAAAAGGAACAGCUGCGGCAAGGGAAUUACGUUUGAUUUAUCGUCUUUCUAAUGACGUGAAUGGCGUUGCCAAGAAAACCCAAAGUGAAAAUUAAUGUCUUUUUCGUCUACAAGAUUGGUGAAAUAGUAUACUGUACACUCACGUAUAAAAAAAUAUGUGGCUUUCGGUUGAAAAGGAAAGGAGAAUCUAAUUGUUUCGCUGAAGACUGCUGACGAAUUUUCAACUCUGAACGUCAUCAGCAGGAAGUGAUAAGCUAAUCCAACCUGCACUUUUCGAAAUUUGAUAAUCUAAUAACAACAUGAAUUUUUCAGUAAUUUUUAGAGCAUUAGGAUUUCCCUAACCAAGGGUAUUUCCCGACAGGUAGGACAUGAAAGUGGAACAAUCUCUUUUUUCGUUUUAAGCAAUUGUAGUGUACUGCACGAACCCAAACGACUAACGAGUGAAACCUAUCCUUUUGCAGCUGCGAGUCAUUUAACACAUCAGUACAUUUUUUUCCUUCGCUUUCCAGUUACUACACCCGUUUGCCAUGUCUCUGGUUACUAUUUCAGAACAACUACAAGCCAUACAGACUGUCUGUAAGUAUUUUGCCGGUAUUAUAAAUAACUUAAUAAGCUAGGGGAAUCUGUUAUCUUUAUGUAGCCUACGCUAUCGGUAUUGGCUAUGAAUAAUCUUCGUAGUUUUUAUUUUUAUUUAUUUUUUGUUUGAAACUCUAAGGAAUGUGGCAUUCCGGUAAAGAAAUGAAAAAUAUCGCUUAAUUUAACUGACUCUCUUGAAUUUAGGUUCAAAUAUUCAUGGACAACAACAAAAAUGGAACACAAGUGAAAGUGAUGAAGUUAGACAUAAGGGACAGGCUGAAGGACUGUUGCGGAAUAACAACUAAAUAUUUCCAAAUUUGCGCGCUAGAAUUGUUAUCUUAGCCUUUUGAUUAAUAUUCCCUCUUUAGAUCGACCUGUUCUGAAUAUUUUGAAAUCUGUUGAAUGAAUAAAAAAAAAUUCAUUUGGAUUUGCGGAAAAGUAAGGAAUUCAAACGCAUUUUAACCACAAUUUACGGAUGAAAAAAAAGUCCUUCGGGAACCUCUCCAAGGAACCUUGGCGUAUUGGUAGAAUUCCGUUCCGUCCAGUCGUCCGUGGAUGCUAAGGGCUGUCAAUAGGUGGCUAAAUAUUUCAGUGUGUUUAGGGAUUUAACUAUUGCCCUAUUGUGUUGGUAGUUUUAGAGGGAAGUAGGGGGGGGGGGGUCAUCAAAUUGUCGAUAUCUGCAGACGACAUUCUAUCCACAAUUUCUUUAUUUUCGAGACGCUGUCCGAGAAGGUUACCUUAGACAUUUGCUCAUAGCGGGCCACUCUCUUUCCGGACGUUUUUCGUCAACGCCUGGUGAAGUCUGAGCUUCAUCGCAUUACGUGCACGUGAUCGCUGCCUUGUCAUGAGGAGGUUCUCCACCGUCUCCACUAAUUUGCAAGACAAUUGAGAUGAAAAGAGGAAAUUUGAAAAGAAUUGACUAGGGUUGUAAAUUGAAAGAUUCGACAAGUACGUUCUGCUCCAACUUGUGAAAAAAGUCAGCUUGUGAAGAGAUGAAAAUUUUUUUUAUCAAGGUUCCUUGUUCAGUUUGAACAGUUAAUGAUGUCAAGUGUGCAGUGGCUUUGCAGACAUUCAGUUGAGAGAUGCCCUGAGAUGAAUGAUCAAAUGCCGAGCCUAUUCUCAUAUCAUCUUUUUCAAUGGAGAUCCUGUCCGAGAAGGUAUAGCUUGGUUGUUGCAGGCAACUUUCUCUCUGGACAUUGUCAGUCUUUUAAAUGCUUUUUAUUGCGUUACGUGCACGGAUCGCUGCUGUUUGUUUAAGAUUCUUCAAGAGGGUCUCUACUACAUUGCAAGACAAUAUUGUGAUGGAAAUAGGAAAUUUGAUAUAGUAAUAAUAAUGUUUCCAUGGUCAGUUGAGCAGUUUAGUUGUGGGUGUUUGGUGUGCAGUGAUAUUUCAGGAGAGAUGUGUUAAAAAGUAGUCAUGUUGGCUUUAGAGUUAUUUCCAGGGAGAAAGCGCCUGAUGCUGGCAACAUGGUAAUUGUGUGCAAUUGAGACCGACUUCAUCUUCUCUGGAGUCUGGACACUGUCAGUUACAUUGUUCGUGAUCAAUGCGGUCAACGCCAACCUUCUUCUUCACAAAUAUCUUUAAGUGGCUUAGUGAAGUUAAGAUUUUUCAUGGCAUUUGAAUCUCCACGUGGACUUGUUGCGGUGAGCUGGUGAAGGGUGUGGCGAGCUGUUGCAUGACGACUGUGUGCUGGUGUGGGGAAGUGCUGCAUGCUGUCUGUGGUUUAUUGUCAGUUGUUGCUCUUUGGUAUGGAGUUCAUGUUCAGGUAAAAGAUUGCUUUCUUUAUCUGUUGAAGAAUG
Daphnia pulicaria is the source of this 3789-nucleotide long non-coding RNA. RefSeq lists it as uncharacterized. The transcript has 10 exons. The record is from RefSeq and is a predicted model, not a curated record. NCBI's taxonomy places the organism in Eukaryota, Metazoa, Arthropoda, Branchiopoda, Diplostraca, Daphniidae.